CGUGGUGCAUUCGAUAAUGCA
Molecule: regulatory RNA element, 21 nt
Organism: Lasius niger
Lineage: Eukaryota; Metazoa; Arthropoda; Insecta; Hymenoptera; Formicidae
Rfam family: Pseudoknot of upstream pseudoknot domain (UPD) of the 3'UTR
Source: Rfam